RNAcentral lists this microRNA precursor (76 nucleotides) under Echinops telfairi (small Madagascar hedgehog). Its description in RNAcentral is "miRNA (ENSETEG00000023828.1)". The record is from RNAcentral. Lineage: Eukaryota; Metazoa; Chordata; Mammalia; Afrosoricida; Tenrecidae.
GCAGAUUCCAGGCACCCACCCUCAGGAUUUUUCUUCCUGGAGUCCUCGGAUGGAUUCCAGAAAUCUGCAUUUUAAC